Molecule: unclassified non-coding RNA, 258 nt
Filed under: Hevea brasiliensis (rubber tree)
Lineage: Eukaryota; Viridiplantae; Streptophyta; Magnoliopsida; Malpighiales; Euphorbiaceae
Source: RNAcentral
AAUGGAUAUCCUCAAGAGCCGAAUACUUUGCCAAGGCCCGAGUAGAGAUGGUCUAUACAACAUAUCACUUCAAUCGGCCAAUUCUCAUGCACCAGUUAUCAAUGUUGCUGAAUUUUGUACCUGGCAUGCGCGUCUCGGACAUACGCAAUUUCGUACCAUUCAACAAGUUCUUCAUCACAGUAAUUUGUCUUUCAAUAAAUUAGAUUCUAGUCGUUGCAGUGCUUGUCAAAUCAGUAAAUCACAUAAAAUUCCCUUUGU